RNAcentral lists this ribosomal RNA (253 nucleotides) under uncultured bacterium. RNAcentral's name for it is "partial 16S ribosomal RNA". It matches the Rfam family "Bacterial small subunit ribosomal RNA", at positions 524 to 776 of the family's 1533-position model. The record is from RNAcentral.
UACGAAGGGGGCUAGCGUUGCUCGGAUUGACUGGGCGUAAAGGGUGCGUAGGCGGGGCUUUAAGUCAGGGGUGAAAUCCUGGAGCUCAACUCCAGAACUGCCUUUGAUACUGAAGAUCUUGAGUUCGGGAGAGGUGAGUGGAACUGCGAGUGUAGAGGUGAAAUUCGUAGAUAUUCGCAAGAACACCAGUGGCGAAGGCGGCUCACUGGCCCGAUACUGACGCUGAGGCACGAAAGCGUGGGGAGCAAACAGG